GACGAACGCUGGCGGCGUGCUUAACACAUGCAAGUCGUACGGUAAGGCCCUUUCGGGGGUACACGAGUGGCGCACGGGUGAGUAACACGUGAGUAACCUGCCCACAACUUUGGGAUAACGCUAGUAAACUGGUGCUAAUACUGGAUAUGUGCUCCUGCUGCAUGGUGUGGGUUGGAAAGCUCCGGCGGUUGUGGAUGGACUCGCGGCCUAUCAGCUUGUUGGUGGGGUAGUGGCCUACCAAGGCGGCGACGGGUAGCCGGCCUGAGAGGGUGACCGGCAACGUUGGGACUGGGAUACGGCCAAGACUCCUACGGGUGGCAGAAGUGGGGAAUAUUGCACAAUGGGAGCAAGCCUGAUGCAGCAACGCCGAGUGCGGGAUGACGGUCUUCGGGUUGUAAACCGAUUUCAGCAGGGACGAAGCUUUUUGUGACGGUACCUGCAGAAGAAGCCCCGGCUAACUACGUG
This 465-nucleotide ribosomal RNA is filed under the name uncultured bacterium. Its description in RNAcentral is "partial 16S ribosomal RNA". It matches the Rfam family "Bacterial small subunit ribosomal RNA", at positions 28 to 507 of the family's 1533-position model. The record is from RNAcentral.